GAUGAACGCUAGCGGCAGGCCUAAUACAUGCAAGUCGAACGGUAAGUAGAGUAGCAAUACUUUGCCUAGAGUGACGUACGGGUGCGUAACACGUAUGCAACCUACCUAUAACAGGAGGAUAGCUCGGGGAAACUCGAAUUAACCCUCCAUAAUAUAAUUGAAUGGCAUCAUUUGAUUAUUAAAACUCCGGUGGUUAUAGAUGGGCAUGCGUCUGAUUAGUUAGUUGGCGGGGUAAAGGCCCACCAAGACGAUGAUCAGUAGGGGAACUGAGAGGUUGAUCCCCCACACUGGCACUGAGAUACGGGCCAGACUCCUACGGGAGGCAGCAGUAGGGAAUAUUGGUCAAUGGAUGCAAGUCUGAACCAGCCAUGCCGCGUGCAGGAAGAAGGCCUUCUGGGUUGUAAAC
Molecule: ribosomal RNA, 406 nt
Filed under: uncultured bacterium
Lineage: Bacteria
Description: bacterial SSU rRNA
Rfam family: Bacterial small subunit ribosomal RNA
Source: RNAcentral